RNA transcript from Neltuma alba, 1322 nucleotides. It is a transcript of the gene named rRNA-processing protein FCF1 homolog, with no coding region annotated. The transcript is spliced from 5 exons. Lineage: Eukaryota; Viridiplantae; Streptophyta; Magnoliopsida; Fabales; Fabaceae. The record is from RefSeq and is a predicted model, not a curated record.
UGUUGAACCCUUAGAAGAAGGACCUUAGCAAGGAAAAACUGCCCAGAAACGUCCCUUAUUAUCCUUCGUCGCUGUUCUUUGCGCACAACACUGAAUUGGGACCUCCUUAUUGUGUUUUGGUCGAUACCAACUUUAUCAAUUUCUCCAUUCAGAACAAAUUGGACUUAGAGAAGGGAAUGAUGGACUGUUUAUAUGCAAAAUGUAAGUUUUAAGCUGGCUGCUAUCUGUACUCUGUUAAUUUAUUCAUUUGGUGAAUUUUAUGUGUGGCAGUACAGUCAUGGGUUCUAAUCCAUUUAUUCGCGAUUAAAUUGCUUUUAUAGGCCCUUUUAGGGGGUAAAAGAUGCCAUUGAUUGUUUGGUUUCUGAGUAAAAAUUUUUCUUGUUUCUAUUCAUACAUUCAUACUUCGUGUAUUUUGUCAUCUCGGUACUCCUUCAAUCACAGAUUGUGUCAUGGCGGAGCUCGAGAAAUUAGGCCAGAAAUAUCGUGUGGCUCUUAGAUAGAUGUUUUGUCUUCUACAUUCAUAUAAAUUAUUUGAUAUUUGAUUGUCGUAUAUUCUCAUAUUCUAGCUGCAAUUGUAAGAUCAAAAUUAUUAUUGGCAUCCCUAGUAUGUCCUAGUUUAUUGCAUGUUUAUAGUUUGCUAUUUUGAGUUAUUUGCUUGUGCUUUGGCUUAAUUCCACUUUGCCCUUUGCAGUGUUGAUGUGUCAAUUUGCUCACAUAAGGUUUAUAUCUUUAGUUUCCUGUCUACUUCAAAAUGAUAAAUUCACGAGUUGAACGUGACUGUGUUCCUAAUUCCUUGAAAAAUGUUACACCAAUGUUUGCGGAGUAGACACCUUGCUGCUUCAGGUAAUAAAGGACUACGCCACAAUGAACUAAAUAACAUUUUUGAAACCUCAAAGCGAUAGCUUGUAAAUCCAAUGAAUUUCUCUACUUAUUUCUUCCUCACCAUAGUUGUUUGCCACUUCAUUGUGUAAUUAUUAACCAUUUUUAUCAUACAGGCAACCACAUAGCUCAGUAGUCACUGGUAAAGAAAACCUACUAACUUCUUUGUUCUAGUUCACUUUCUGAGUAACUGAUUUAUCAAAUAUUGUUCCAUCUAUGUGGCUGGAUUGCAAAGGAUCCUCGAUUUGAUAGGUUACCUUGUACUCACAAGGGGACCCACGCAGAUGAUUGCAUUGUUGAGAGAGUUACUGAGUUUAGGUGCUUCAUUGUUGCAACAUGUGAUCGAGAUCUGAAGUGAAGGAUCCGCAAGAUUCCUGGCGUACCUAUCAUGAUCACUGAACACAAGUAUUCAGUUGAGCGUUUGCCUGAGGCAACAAUUGGGA